GGAGAGGUGGCCGAGUGGACGAUGGCGCUUGCUUGGAAAGCAAGUAUACGGGUAACUGUAUCGGGGGUUCGAAUCCCUUCUUCUCCG
Molecule: transfer RNA, 87 nt
Filed under: Dysgonomonas sp. HDW5A
Lineage: Bacteria; Pseudomonadati; Bacteroidota; Bacteroidia; Bacteroidales; Dysgonomonadaceae
Also listed under: 1 other name
Rfam family: tRNA
About the family: Transfer RNA (tRNA) molecules are approximately 80 nucleotides in length. Their secondary structure includes four short double-helical elements and three loops (D, anti-codon, and T loops).
Source: Rfam by way of RNAcentral